UGCAUGUCUCAGUACUUGCCUACCUAAGGCGAAACCGCGAAUGGCUCAUUAAAUCAGUCAUGAUUCAUUGGAUGUUGUCAAAUCCUUACUCGGAUAACUGUGGUAAUUCUAGAGCUAAUACGUGCAACUAAGCUCCGACCCUGCCGGGGAGUCCUUCGCGUCGCCUCGGUCGGGGGAAGGGCGCAUUUGUUAGACCAAAAACCGGGUGGAAAGUAAGCGCGCGCCUCGCGCACGCCCAAAUCCUCCAAAUACGGUUACGUGGUGACUCUGAAUAACUACAGCCGAGCGCUGAGGUCAUAGUACCGGCGCCGUAUCCUUCGAGUGUCUGCCUUAUCAGCUCUCGAUUGUAGGUUAUUCGCCUACAAUGGCUGUAACGGGUAACGGGGAAUCAGGGUUCGAUUCCGGAGAGGGAGCCUGAGAAACGGCUACCACAUCUAAGGAAGGCAGCAGGCACGCAAAUUACCCAAUCCCGGCUCGGGGAGGUAGUGACGAAAAAUAACGAUGCGGGACUCUUCCGAGGCCUCGCAAUCGGAAUGAGUUCAAUUUAAAUCCUUGGACGAGGAUCCAUUGGAGGGCAAGUCUGGUGCCAGCAGCCGCGGUAAUUCCAGCUCCAAUAGCGUAUAUUAAAGUUGU
RNAcentral lists this ribosomal RNA (633 nucleotides) under Paraplatyarthrus pallidus. Its description in RNAcentral is "bacterial SSU rRNA". It matches the Rfam family "Eukaryotic small subunit ribosomal RNA", at positions 52 to 613 of the family's 1831-position model. The record is from RNAcentral. Lineage: Eukaryota; Metazoa; Arthropoda; Malacostraca; Isopoda; Paraplatyarthridae.